RNAcentral lists this ribosomal RNA (315 nucleotides) under uncultured eukaryote. RNAcentral describes it as "partial 18S ribosomal RNA". It matches the Rfam family "Eukaryotic small subunit ribosomal RNA", at positions 1470 to 1796 of the family's 1831-position model. The record is from RNAcentral.
CCCUUAGACGUUCUGGGCCGCACGCGCGCUACACUGACCAGUGCAACAAGCAUCCGUCCUUGGCCGACAGGCCCGGGCAAUCUUUGAACGCUGGUCGUGAUGGGGAUAGACUUUUGCAAUUUUUGGUCUUCAACGAGGAAUUCCUAGUAAACGCAAGUCAUCAACUUGCAUUGAUUACGUCCCUGCACUUUGUACACACCGCCCGUCGCACCUACCGAUUGAAUGGUCCGGUGAAGCCUCCGGAUUGGCGCGCACCUCGGUGCCGCCGAGAAGUUGGCUAAACCUUACCAUUUAGAGGAAGGUGAAGUCGUAACA